Tripterygium wilfordii is the source of this 1228-nucleotide long non-coding RNA. RefSeq lists it as uncharacterized. The transcript has 2 exons. NCBI's taxonomy places the organism in Eukaryota, Viridiplantae, Streptophyta, Magnoliopsida, Celastrales, Celastraceae. The record is from RefSeq and is a predicted model, not a curated record.
CUUCGAAAGAGAGCCUGCAUUGCCAGCUUGGCUCUAUCAUUAUUUAGUAUUUAUCAUUACGAAUCAUUCAAAUUACAAGAACCAUCCCUUUACUUUCUCUGCACAACAAUACAUGCAAUCCCCAUCAGAUAUAUGGAUGCUCUCUCUUGCAUCAUAAUCUAAUCUCUAUCUCUCCCACACACACACACACAUAUGAGAGUUAGAACGCAAUUGCUUCAUCAAUUCAGUUUCUAAUUUAGUAUAUUUCCGGCCCAAUACAUCACCCCGCACACACAUAUUUCCGAAUGCACUUCACAAUUUGAAGUUGAUUAUACACAUGCACACACGAGCAUAUUGGUGAGUUGACCGUAUGAUGUGGGUUGAAAGGAUAUCCAAACACCAAACACCUUAUCAUUUCACAUAAGAUGUGGGUUGAAAGUCAAUAGGUUUUUUUUUUUUUUUUGAUCGAACAGCAAAGAUAUUAAGACCAGAGAAAGGCACCAAAUAGAAAAUACAACAGGGUAUCGGAUGGGAUCACCUGAAUAGUAUAAGUGACUACGUAUACAACGGAUGCAGUCAAUAAUGUUUUGUUGACAUGAGAAGCACCCCUGAAAUUUAUUAUGUGGUCUGAACCUCGUUCUCUAUCUCGAUUUAUUGUGUGGUCUUAAAUAGAAGAUGCUUAUAUUUUCCUGAUUUGGGUGUUGGUGAGUAUUUUACGAUGUAUUGCAGGUAAAGAAGGUCAUAUAACUAACCCGAAGUCUGGCCCUAGGCACCCCCAACAGUUCAGCUACCAUUUCUAUACUAAGCAAACUUGAUGGUGUUCUGAAUCCCAUUCAGUGUUUUCAAAAACGUUUGUAAUGCGCAUUUCAGUACUCGAAUUGAUGCGAAAUGGCAUGACAAAAGUUUUGGGAAUAAAAAUUAAUAAAAUUCAGAAGUUAGGUCGUCGAAAGUCGAAACCCAUCUUUGCCAAUGCAAAUGUCGUCUUUCGCGAAGUUCCUGAUUCUUCUAAGUCUCACUCAGAUGUGAUUCAGUCAUGGAUGGUAUGCAGCUAUGUUGGGCUUAUCACGUGUUGGGCCUUACAUUUCCUUUAUAUCCAGUUAUCCACUGAAGUCUACUACCAGAGCUAGUUCUUACGAAGUCCAUUGUAGUCAUUCUUUAUAAAGCCCACUUUCGUCAAUCAGAAUGUAUAUGAUCAAUUUUUAUUUAAAUGUCUAAUAUUCAAAUAAAGUACACGUCACACCUUUCACAU